RNAcentral lists this transfer RNA (72 nucleotides) under Camelus bactrianus (Bactrian camel). It matches the Rfam family "tRNA". From Rfam's summary of the family: Transfer RNA (tRNA) molecules are approximately 80 nucleotides in length. Their secondary structure includes four short double-helical elements and three loops (D, anti-codon, and T loops). Lineage: Eukaryota; Metazoa; Chordata; Mammalia; Artiodactyla; Camelidae. RNAcentral also lists the same sequence under 2 other names. The record is from Rfam by way of RNAcentral.
GAGGGUGUAGCUCAGUGGUAGAGCACGUGUCUAGCAUGCACGAGGUCCUGGGUUCCAUCCCCAGUAACCCCA